RNAcentral lists this ribosomal RNA (403 nucleotides) under uncultured bacterium. RNAcentral describes it as "bacterial SSU rRNA". It matches the Rfam family "Bacterial small subunit ribosomal RNA", at positions 29 to 403 of the family's 1533-position model. The record is from RNAcentral.
AGCGAACGCUGGCGGCGUGCUUAACACAUGCAAGUCGAGCGAAGGUGUUUCAAGGGUAACCUUGAGAUACACUUAGCGGCGGACGGGUGAGUAAUACGUGGAUAACUUACCUCUAGGCCUGGGAUAACCCCGGGAAACUGGGGCUAAUACCUGAUAAGACCACAUUGUCUACGGACAAAGGGGUAAAAGGUGGCUGUGCAAACAGCUAUCGCCAAAAGAUAGGUUCACGUCCCAUCAGGCAGUGGUGAGGUAAUGGCUCACCAAACCAAAGACGGUAGCCGGCCUUGGCGGGUGAACGGCCACACGGGGACGUGAGACACGGCCCCGACCUCCUACCGGGAGGGCAGCAGUGGGGAAGUAUUGGGCGAAUGGGCGGCAAGCCUCGACCCAGCGACGUCGCGUU